RNAcentral lists this ribosomal RNA (495 nucleotides) under uncultured bacterium. Its description in RNAcentral is "bacterial SSU rRNA". It matches the Rfam family "Bacterial small subunit ribosomal RNA", at positions 28 to 517 of the family's 1533-position model. The record is from RNAcentral.
GACGAACGCUGGCGGCGCGCCUAACACAUGCAAGUCGAACGGAGUUAUGUUGACAGAUCCCUUCGGGGUGACGCUGAUGUAACUUAGUGGCGAACGGGUGAGUAACACGUGAGGAACCUGCCCUUCAGAGGGGGACAACAGUUGGAAACGACUGCUAAUACCGCAUAAGACCACAGAGCCGCAUGGCUCAGAGGUCAAAGGAGAAAUCCGCUGAAGGAUGGCCUCGCGUCCGAUUAGCUAGAUGGCGGGGUAACGGCCCACCAUGGCGACGAUCGGUAGCCGGACUGAGAGGUUGAACGGCCACAUUGGGACUGAGACACGGCCCAGACUCCUACGGGAGGCAGCAGUGGGGAAUAUUGCACAAUGGGGGGAAACCCUGAUGCAGCGACGCCGCGUGAGGGAAGAAGAUUUUCGGAUGUAAAGCUCUAUCAGCAGGGAAGAAAAAAAUGACGGUACCUGACUAAGAAGCCCCGGCUAACUACGUGCCAGCAGCCG